GGCGGCAGGCCUAAUACAUGCAAGUCGAACGGAACCUUCGGGUUCAGUGGCGGACGGGUGAGUAACACGUGGGAACGUGCCUUUAGGUUCGGGACAACCCAGGGAAACUUGGGCUAAUACCGAAUAAGCCCUUCGGGGGAAAGAUUUAUCGCCUUUAGAGCGGCCCGCGUCUGAUUAGCUUGUUGGUGGGGUAAUGGCCUACCAAGGCUACGAUCAGUAGCUGGUCUGAGAGGAUGAUCAGCCACACUGGGACUGAGACACGGCCCAGACUCCUACGGGAGGCAGCAGUAGGGAAUCUUGCGCAAUGGGCGAAAGCCUGACGCAGCCAUGCCGCGUGGAUGAUGAAGGUCUUAGGAUUGUAAAAUCCUUUCAGCGGGGACGAUAAUGACGGUACCCGCAGAAGAAGCCCCGGCUAACUUCGUGCCAGCAGCCGCGGUAAUACNAAGGGGGCUAGCGUUGCUCGGAUUUACUGGGCGUAAAGGGCGCGUAGGCGGGACAGUUUA
Molecule: ribosomal RNA, 503 nt
Filed under: uncultured Alphaproteobacteria bacterium
Lineage: Bacteria; Pseudomonadati; Pseudomonadota; Alphaproteobacteria
Description: bacterial SSU rRNA
Rfam family: Bacterial small subunit ribosomal RNA
Source: RNAcentral